RNAcentral lists this ribosomal RNA (404 nucleotides) under uncultured bacterium. RNAcentral describes it as "bacterial SSU rRNA". It matches the Rfam family "Bacterial small subunit ribosomal RNA", at positions 355 to 776 of the family's 1533-position model. The record is from RNAcentral.
UGAGGAAUAUUGGACAAUGGAGGAAACUCUGAUCCAGCCAUGCCGCGUGAGUGAAGAAGGCCUUAGGGUUGUAAAGCUCUUUCAAUUGUGAAGAUAAUGACGGUAGCAAUAGAAGAAGCUCCGGCUAAAUUCGUGCCAGCAGCCGCGGUAAUACGAAUGGAGCAAGCGUUGUUCGGAAUCACUGGGCUUAAAGCGUAUGUAGGCGGAGCAGUAAGUCAGAAGUGAAAGCCUGGGGCUCAACCCCAGAACUGCUUUUGAAACUACUGUUCUAGAAUCCUGGAGAGGUUGGGAGAAUUCCGAGUGUAGAGGUGAAAUUCGCAGAUAUUCGGAGGAAUACCAGUGGCGUAGGCGCCCAACUGGACAGGUAUUGACGCUCAGAUACGAAAGCGUGGGGAGCAAACAGG